This is a long non-coding RNA of Nerophis ophidion (straightnose pipefish), 1201 nucleotides long. RefSeq lists it as uncharacterized. NCBI's taxonomy places the organism in Eukaryota, Metazoa, Chordata, Actinopteri, Syngnathiformes, Syngnathidae. The record is from RefSeq and is a predicted model, not a curated record. The transcript has 2 exons.
UUGACCACCUUGACUUCUUCCCACAGGAUGCGGUCUCGGCCCCAGCGUCUGAUGCUGGAGCGGGUCUUCACGGCGAACACCAGAAGAAUGAUCAGCGCCACAAACACCAGGAAGCCGAGGACAAUGGCGAUGGCCUGCACCAGACCAAGACAGGUGUCAACAAAAUGGAAACGGGCGAGGCUUGAACGCAAUGUAGCGUCCUCGUUGGCUGCUAAUGCCAGUCACUAGUCGUCACCUCCAAACAGGUUGACACUUCUGUAUCGAUCUUCUCACUGGGCUCUCUGAAACUUCUGCAGUUCAUCCAGAAUGCUGCUACCCGAAUCCUGACUAAAAGUAAGACAAACUUAUUAGUUGCUCAGAGAGUAGACUUCAAAACAAGUCUUUUCCAUGUUAGAAUUCUAGAAACUAUGAUCCAGGUAAAAAGUGUAUCACGGUAUCAGUGUUUUGUAUAAUCCAGCGAUUGUUUUGGUUUAGUCUAAAGUACAUUAAAGGGACAAGCGGUAGAAAAUGGAUGGAUUUGUGGUAGAGAAACUGUCAAAGGGUUUUCAGUAAAGGAAUAAUUCACAAUGAAGACUGAAACACAAGGAAUCAUGCUCAAUACUGACAUCCAGUGGCGCAAAAAUAGUACUGCAUGUAAUUAUGCACUUCCGUAAUUAUGAUGAUUGUUAAUUCUGGUGUAUAUUUUUUUAAAUCUUUGGUUUCGAGUAAAAAUUGAGGGAAAUUGGUUUAAGAUUUUUUCCCGCAAUCAGUUCAUGUUAAAAUGACUUUUAAACAAUCCAGUUGUCCAGCUUGCUUGUUCAAAAUACAAAUGAAAUUGAUCAUGAAAUUUCUACAAUUUAUUGUCGAAAGGACAAAUGAUUUUAAAUGACGUUUCAGGGGAAAGAGAAAUAAUUCAAUCGAUAUAUGCAGGAUCUGUUUUAUGUCAUUCAAAAUUAUUUUUAUUUUAUUGUAUUUUUUGCAGUUUUUAAUGCAGUUAUUUACAUUUGUAUUCAUUUUUAUAGUAUUUCUUAGUUCACAAUUGUUCAUGUAAUUUAUACAUUGGUGUAUUUUUUCAUAUUUUUGUAUUUGUAAUUAUUUUUUUAUUAUUCCUACAUUUAUUUGAAUUUAUUUAACCUGUAGUUGUUUUUUAAAUGUAUUUUAUAUGCAUGUGUUUAUUAAUAUUUUGAAAUUUAUUUAAAUAAAAUGUUCAUGCAUUUAUCUA